ACUCCUACGGGAGGCAGCAGUAGGGAACUCUUCCACAAUGGGCGCAAGCCUGAUGGAGCAACACCGCGUGAGUGAAGAAGGGUUUCGGCUCGUAAAGCUCUGUUGUUAAAGAAGAACACGUAUGAGAGUAACCUGUUCAUACGUUGACGGUAUUUAACCAGAAAGUCACGGCUAACUACGUGCCAGCAGCCGCGGUAAUACGUAGGUGGCAAGCGUUAUCCGGAUUUAUUGGGCGUAAAGAGAGUGCAGGCGGUUUUUCUAAGUCUGAUGUGAAAGCCUUCGGCUUAACCGGAGAAGUGCAUGGAAACUAGGAUAAACUUGAGUGCAGAAGAGGGUAGUGGAACUCCAUGUGUAGCGGUGGAAUGCGUAGAUAUAU
This 376-nucleotide ribosomal RNA is filed under the name uncultured bacterium. RNAcentral describes it as "bacterial SSU rRNA". It matches the Rfam family "Bacterial small subunit ribosomal RNA", at positions 335 to 699 of the family's 1533-position model. The record is from RNAcentral.